RNAcentral lists this ribosomal RNA (494 nucleotides) under uncultured bacterium. Its description in RNAcentral is "partial 16S ribosomal RNA". It matches the Rfam family "Bacterial small subunit ribosomal RNA", at positions 28 to 523 of the family's 1533-position model. The record is from RNAcentral.
GAUGAACGCUAGCGGCAGGCUUAACACAUGCAAGUCGAGGGGUAUAGGUUUUCGGACCUAGAGACCGGCGCACGGGUGCGUAACGCGUAUGCAAUCUACCUUGUACAGGGGGAUAGCCCAGAGAAAUUUGGAUUAAUACCCCAUAGUAUUAUAGAAUGGCAUCAUUUUAUAAUUAAAGUUCCAACGGUACAAGAUGAGCAUGCGUCCCAUUAGCUAGUUGGUAUGGUAACGGCAUACCAAGGCUACGAUGGGUAGGGGUCCUGAGAGGGAGAUCCCCCACACUGGUACUGAGACACGGACCAGACUCCUACGGGAGGCAGCAGUGGGGAAUAUUGGUCAAUGGACGCAAGUCUGAACCAGCCAUGCCGCGUGCAGGAUGACGGUCCUAUGGAUUGUAAACUGCUUUUGUACAGGAAGAAACACUCCUACGUGUAGGAACUUGACGGUACUGUAAGAAUAAGGAUCGGCUAACUCCGUGCCAGCAGCCGCCGUAA